Diceros bicornis minor is the source of this 645-nucleotide long non-coding RNA. RefSeq lists it as uncharacterized. The record is from RefSeq and is a predicted model, not a curated record. The transcript is spliced from 5 exons. Lineage: Eukaryota; Metazoa; Chordata; Mammalia; Perissodactyla; Rhinocerotidae.
AUGUCAGCACCUUGGUGAGCACCCUGAGGUGGUUAUCGGGAUGGGGUCAGAUGAUCCCUAAUUACACCUGCCAGGCACAGAACAAGAAUGUGGCUGUCACUGCAGGAACCACACCAGCAUUCUCUGCCCACAUUGGGACACUGUUGGAGCUCUACAAAAUACCACAGAGAACUCAAUAUGGAACACUUUUUCUCUUUUGAUUUAGACAACCUAUGGAGAUUUUGAUCCUGUACUGAAAGGAACUGAAUGUGGAAAUUUUUGGAGUGUCCAUUCAAUGCCUCCCUGGAGUCUCUGCCAAAGGAAACAUUAGACACGACUCUGUCUGGAUCCAGCUACUACAUCUAUGAUGCUGUGGAUGUGGUGGCCUGAGCCCUCCAUGAAAUACUUUUUAUAAAAGCAGAACAGGGGUCCAUAAUGGAUGCAGGCCAGCUCAUGUUUCUCCCUUAGCAGGUUGCAAGUAAACCUCUAAUGAUUGUAGGGUCUAAUUAGCAACAGUGUCAACUCUUUUAACUAGAAAUAAUUGAUUAAAAACUUUCACUGUGAGAGGUAGGAAGAAGCAGGCUGUCUUUCUUUGUCUCUUCUUGAGCUCGAGGAAACUCCCUAGCACCCCUAAAGCAAACCUCAUUGCUCAAGGUGCAGCUCAGG